CAGAAAGACCCUAUGAAGCUUUACUGUAACCUGAAAUUGAAAUCGGACUUUAUUCGCGCAGUAUAGGUGGGAGGUGUUGAAAAUAUUCUUGCGGGAGUAUUGGAGCCAUCAGUGAGAUACCACUCUUGUAAUGUUAGGUUUCUAACUUUGAACCAUUAUCUGGUCAAAGAACAGUUUCAGGCGGGCAGUUUGACUGGGGCGGUCGCCUCCCAAAUGGUAACGGAGGCGUACAAAGGUUUCCUCUGAACGUGUAGAAAUCGUAUCUAGAGUGUAAAGGCAUAAGGAAGCUUGACUGUGAGACCUACAAGUCGAGCAGGGACGAAAGUCGGUCUUAGUGAUCUGACGGUACUGAGUGGAAAGGCCGUCACUCAACGGAUAAAAGUUACUCUAGGGAUAACAGGCUGA
This 405-nucleotide ribosomal RNA is filed under the name Rhodomonas sp. RNAcentral's name for it is "partial large subunit ribosomal RNA". It matches the Rfam family "Bacterial large subunit ribosomal RNA", at positions 2081 to 2485 of the family's 2925-position model. Lineage: Eukaryota; Cryptophyceae; Pyrenomonadales; Pyrenomonadaceae. The record is from RNAcentral.